RNAcentral lists this ribosomal RNA (686 nucleotides) under uncultured beta proteobacterium. RNAcentral's name for it is "bacterial SSU rRNA". It matches the Rfam family "Bacterial small subunit ribosomal RNA", at positions 56 to 725 of the family's 1533-position model. Lineage: Bacteria; Pseudomonadati; Pseudomonadota; Betaproteobacteria. The record is from RNAcentral.
UGCAAGUCGAACGGUAACGCGGGGAGAAGCUUGCUUCUCCCCGGCGACGAGUGGCGAACGGGUGAGUAAUACAUCGGAACGUGUCCGCUCGUGGGGGACAACCAGCCGAAAGGUUGGCUAAUACCGCAUGAGUUCUACGGAGGAAAGAGGGGGACCCGCAAGGGCCUCUCGCGAGCGGAGCGGCCGAUGACUGAUUAGCCGGUUGGUGAGGUAACGGCUCACCAAAGCAACGAUCAGUAGCUGGUCUGAGAGGACGACCAGCCACACUGGGACUGAGACACGGCCCAGACUCCUACGGGAGGCAGCAGUGGGGAAUUUUGGACAAUGGGCGCAAGCCUGAUCCAGCUAUUCCGCGUGUGGGAUGAAGGCCCUCGGGUUGUAAACCACUUUUGUAGAGAACGAAAAGACACCUUCGAAUAAAGGGUGUUGCUGACGGUACUCUAAGAAUAAGCACCGGCUAACUACGUGCCAGCAGCCGCGGUAAUACGUAGGGUGCGAGCGUUAAUCGGAAUUACUGGGCGUAAAGGGUGCGCAGGCGGUUGAGUAAGACAGAUGUGAAAUCCCCGAGCUUAACUCGGGAAUGGCAUAUGUGACUGCUCGGCUAGAGUGUGUCAGAGGGAGGUGGAAUUCCACGUGUAGCAGUGAAAUGCGUAGAUAUGUGGAAGAACACCGAUGGCGAAGGCAGC